Molecule: long non-coding RNA, 189 nt
Organism: Trichomycterus rosablanca
Lineage: Eukaryota; Metazoa; Chordata; Actinopteri; Siluriformes; Trichomycteridae
Exons: 3
Source: RefSeq, a predicted model, not a curated record
UCAAAUGUCUUACUUGUGAUUGUCAUUUUCAUUAUGUGGAGAAAACAAUGUAAAACACAUCACAGGGAUGAGGCUGGAGGUCAUGCAGCUCAAGGAAACAAGGUUGAGGACGAUGAUGCUUUGAACUAUGCAGCUCUUAGUUUUGCUCAGAAUUCCUCCUCUAGAAGAACCAGAGAAAAUAUUAGCAGC